AAACUGUGCAGCAGGGUUGGAAGAGAGGUGCCAAGAGGUGUUUCCACCUUACAGGAAGAUGGUUUCAAGCUGGUGCUCUGGCAGUCAGAGCCUUCCUGGCACAGGGAUCUGGGGACAUAAAUUCCAGAUGAGCACCUUUGAUUCCCUCAGACAAUGAUAAUGCAGAGAUGAUUGACACCUACAGCUUGGGAAGAGAUGUGCUCAGCACUGAUCCCAGAGGAUGUGCCUUUCAGCAGGAAGCAGGAGAAGCAGAGCAGAUCCAUGUGCAGCCCCAGGUGUGUUCCAGGAGUUCUGGGAGCUGGGAAGAGCAUCUGUCUUUGAGCCAGGUCUGCUCCCAGAGGAGGUGGAGGACACGGCAGUGAAACUGGAUGUUGUGUUCUCACCAUAUAAGAGAGACUAAAAAUAGCUUGGAGGAGUUGUGGAAAAUCCUGUGUUCCUGAAGUAUCUUUUGAUGUCUCUUUAUCUCAGGAUAGGAUGGGAUUUUUUGGUUGGGAUUUUUUUGUUUUGUUUUGGUUUGGUUUUGUUUGGUUUGGUUUGUUUUUUGGGGAGG
This 550-nucleotide long non-coding RNA is filed under the name Serinus canaria (Common canary). RNAcentral's name for it is "lncRNA (ENSSCAG00000009729.1)". Lineage: Eukaryota; Metazoa; Chordata; Aves; Passeriformes; Fringillidae. The record is from RNAcentral.